RNAcentral lists this ribosomal RNA (566 nucleotides) under Ceratocystiopsis minuta. RNAcentral describes it as "eukaryotic LSU rRNA". It matches the Rfam family "Eukaryotic large subunit ribosomal RNA", at positions 72 to 654 of the family's 3401-position model. The record is from RNAcentral. Lineage: Eukaryota; Fungi; Ascomycota; Sordariomycetes; Ophiostomatales; Ophiostomataceae.
GGAUUGCCUCAGUAACGGCGAGUGAAGCGGCAACAGCUCAAAUUUGAAAUCUGGCUCCCCUUGGGGGUCCGAGUUGUAAUUUGGAGAGGAUGUUUUUGGCGCGGCGCCUUCCGGAGUUCCUUGGAACAGGACGCCACAGAGGGUGAGAGCCCCGUACGGUCGGCCGCCAAACCUUCAAAAAAAACUCCUUCGACGAGUCGAGUAGUUUGGGAAUGCUGCUCAAAAUGGGAGGUAAAUUUCUUCUAAAGCUAAAUACCGGCCAGAGACCGAUAGCGCACAAGUAGAGUGAUCGAAAGAUGAAAAGCACCUUGAAAAGAGGGUUAAACAGUACGUGAAAUUGUUGAAAGGGAAGCGCCUGCGACCAGACUCGCGCCCCGCGGACCAGCCGGCGUUCUCGCCGGUGCACUCCGCGGGGUGCGGGCCAGCAUCGGUUUUCCCUGGGGGAGAAAGGCUGCGGGAACGUAGCUCCUUCGGGAGUGUUAUAGCCCGUGGCGCCAUGCCCCAGGGGGGACCGAGGACCGCGCUUCGGCAAGGAUGCUGGCGUAAUGGUCGUCGGCGACCCGUCU